UMSGGGUGAAAGCGGAGGGCCYUYSGSYUYSCGCAGAUAGAUGAGCCGCCGSCGAAUUAGCUAGUUGCCGGGGURAAAGGCCCACMAAGGCGACGAWCCGUAGCUGGUCURAGAGGAUGAUCAGCCACACUGGAACUGAGACASGGUCCAGACYCCUACGGGAGGCAGCAGUGGGGAAUAUUGGACAAUGGGCGCAAGCCUGAHCMAGCCAUGCCCCGUGUGUGAAGAAGGCCHCCGGGUUGUAAAGCACUUWUGUCCGGAAAGAAAAGCAUUGGAUUAAUACCCCGAUGUCAUGACGGUACCGGAAGAAUAAGCACCGGCUAACUHCGUGCCAGCAGCCGCGGUAAUACGAAGGGUGCAAGCGUUACUNGGAAUUACUGGGCGUAAAGCGUGCGUAGGUGGUUUGUUAAGUCUGAUGUGAAAGCCCUGGGCWCAACCUGGGAAUGGCAUUGGAAACUGGCUUACUAGAGUGCGGUAGAGGGUAGUGGAAUUCVCGGUGUAGCAGUGAAAUGCGUAGAUAUCGGGAGGAACAUCUGUGGCGAAGGCGACUACCUGGACCAGCACUGACACUGAGGCACGAAAGCGUGGGGAGCAAACAGGAUUAGAUACCSUGGUAGUCMACGCCCUAAACGAUGCGAACUGGAUGUUGGGAGCAACUUGGCUCUNAGUAUCGAACUAACGCGUUAAGUUCGCCGCCUGGAAGUACGG
Molecule: ribosomal RNA, 708 nt
Filed under: Xanthomonas sp. Twm31
Lineage: Bacteria; Pseudomonadati; Pseudomonadota; Gammaproteobacteria; Lysobacterales; Lysobacteraceae
Description: partial 16S ribosomal RNA
Rfam family: Bacterial small subunit ribosomal RNA
Source: RNAcentral